This 93-nucleotide transfer RNA is filed under the name Slackia exigua. RNAcentral describes it as "tRNA-Ser". It matches the Rfam family "tRNA". Rfam says of the family: Transfer RNA (tRNA) molecules are approximately 80 nucleotides in length. Their secondary structure includes four short double-helical elements and three loops (D, anti-codon, and T loops). Further hydrogen bonds mediate the characteristic L-shaped molecular structure. tRNAs have two regions of fundamental functional importance: the anti-codon, which is responsible for specific mRNA codon recognition, and the 3' end, to which the tRNAs corresponding amino acid is attached (by aminoacyl-tRNA synthetases). tRNAs cope with the degeneracy of the genetic code in two manners: having more than one tRNA (with a specific anti-codon) for a particular amino acid; and 'wobble' base-pairing, i.e. permitting non-standard base-pairing at the 3rd anti-codon position. RNAcentral also lists the same sequence under 3 other names. The record is from RNAcentral. Lineage: Bacteria; Bacillati; Actinomycetota; Coriobacteriia; Eggerthellales; Eggerthellaceae.
GGAGGGGUGGCAGAGUGGUUGAAUGCGGCGGUCUCGAAAACCGUUUAGCCGGCUUAACCGGCUACGAGGGUUCGAAUCCCUCCUCCUCCGCCA